GGAGACGUGGCCUAGCCUGGACAGGGCAGGAGGUUUCUAACCUCCCGAUCGGCGGUUCGAAUCCGUCCGUCUCCG
This 75-nucleotide transfer RNA is filed under the name candidate division MSBL1 archaeon SCGC-AAA259O05. RNAcentral's name for it is "candidate divison MSBL1 archaeon SCGC-AAA259O05 tRNA". It matches the Rfam family "tRNA". From Rfam's summary of the family: Transfer RNA (tRNA) molecules are approximately 80 nucleotides in length. Their secondary structure includes four short double-helical elements and three loops (D, anti-codon, and T loops). Further hydrogen bonds mediate the characteristic L-shaped molecular structure. tRNAs have two regions of fundamental functional importance: the anti-codon, which is responsible for specific mRNA codon recognition, and the 3' end, to which the tRNAs corresponding amino acid is attached (by aminoacyl-tRNA synthetases). tRNAs cope with the degeneracy of the genetic code in two manners: having more than one tRNA (with a specific anti-codon) for a particular amino acid; and 'wobble' base-pairing, i.e. permitting non-standard base-pairing at the 3rd anti-codon position. Lineage: Archaea; Methanobacteriati; Methanobacteriota. The record is from Rfam by way of RNAcentral.